Molecule: ribosomal RNA, 768 nt
Filed under: uncultured bacterium
Lineage: Bacteria
Description: bacterial SSU rRNA
Rfam family: Bacterial small subunit ribosomal RNA
Source: RNAcentral
GAUGAACGCUGACAGAAUGCUUAACACAUGCAAGUCGAGCGAAGUUUUUCUGGUGCUUGCACUAGAAAAACUUAGCGGCGAACGGGUGAGUAACACGUAAAGAACCUGCCUCAUAGACUGGGACAACUAUUGGAAACGAUAGCUAAUACCGGAUAACAGUAUUUCUCGCAUGAGAGAUAUUUAAAAGUUGGUUAUGCUAACACUAUGAGAUGGCUUUGCGGUGCAUUAGCUAGUUGGUGGGGUAAAGGCCCACCAAGGCGACGAUGCAUAGCCGACCUGAGAGGGUGAUCGGCCACACUGGGACUGAGACACGGCCCAGACUCCUACGGGAGGCAGCAGUAGGGAAUCUUCCGCAAUGGGCGAAAGCCUGACGGAGCAACGCCGCGUGAGUGAAGAAGGAUUUCGGUUCGUAAAGCUCUGUUGUUAGGGAAGAAUGGAUAUGUAGUAACUAUACAUGUAAGAGACGGUACCUAACCAGAAAGCCACGGCUAACUACGUGCCAGCAGCCGCGGUAAUACGUAGGUGGCAAGCGUUGUCCGGAAUUAUUGGGCGUAAAGCGCGCGCAGGUGGUUUAAUAAGUCUGAUGUGAAAGCCCACGGCUCAACCGUGGAGGGUCAUUGGAAACUGUUAAACUUGAGUGCAGGAGAGAAAAGUGGAAUUCCUAGUGUAGUGGUGAAAUACGUAGAUAUUAGGAGGAAUACCAGUAGCGAAGGCGACUUUCUGGACACAAACUGACGCUGAGGUACGAAAGCGUGGGGAGCAAACAGG